Long non-coding RNA from Labeo rohita (rohu), 880 nucleotides. RefSeq lists it as uncharacterized. The transcript has 3 exons. NCBI's taxonomy places the organism in Eukaryota, Metazoa, Chordata, Actinopteri, Cypriniformes, Cyprinidae. The record is from RefSeq and is a predicted model, not a curated record.
UGGUCCUUUGCUGGUUUAUGCUGGUCCUUGACCAGCAAUAUGACCAGCAAAAACUAGGACCAGCUUAAACCAGCAUCAAAACAUACCUACCAGCAUAUGCUGGUUUUUGUAGAUGACCGUUUCUGAGUAUAUUUUUUACUUCACCUCUUCAAAUACUGAUAACUUUUAAUGAUAAGAUAUUGGUUCACAUUUUUAGAUCAAGCACACGUUUUUCAGGAAAAACAGGCACCCAAUACAGAGACUACAGUAAAAUGUUAGUCAGUUUUAACCACUGUUUCCAGACCUGAAUUAUGAUUAUAAUCAUUAUAAGUACAUCUGUAAGACAUUUCCUCCACUGGUGAUAGAAAAUCUGAGUAACUUUUUUCCCUGUUGUCUUUCUUUUUCUGAGGUGGCACAAAGAAAAGGAAAUAGAACUUGUCACCAUCUUCAGUCCUUUAUUUUAUUCACUGGAGAACAUCACAGCCUUCAGAUGUGUCAUAUCAGGAUAAAUGCAACUGCAGGACUCGUCGGGCCCACCCCACUACAGAUUCACCAAGGAUCCAGCUGAUCACUGCCAAUUUGAAGGAGGAUUGUCCUUUAUCUGCUACAUUGCACUCUCACUUCUGAGGCUGUUAAGAAGACUGCACUGAUGUCAAAGAUCAACCAUCAAGAAUCUGAGAGGGAACUCUCAAAAUGGUUUACUGGGACAAGAGACAGGAGGACUGAGGGUGUCUAGAAAGCACAAAUGUCUGUCUGCAGUGUAAGCAGUACUGAAAAAUGUAUAGUUGCUGCUGCUGUUUCUUACUGUCUCUGUUUUCUAUGUGCAAAUGUUCAAAGCUUUCAGUAAACACUGGUUCAAAUACAAGUUCAAAAUGUUUGUUAACUUUAACAAUUAAAUGAU